CUGGUACUCCCCAUAUCACCUCCCCCCUUCGGCUACUCCUGCCACGGGGUGGGGGGGUGGGGGGGGGGUUGGAGGCCUCUCCCAAGGAGAAGGGAAACCUUGACAACAUACCCCUUCAAGUGUUCCGUCCCGAGAAUUUCAAGGACCCAGGCCUUCCAAGUCACAGAAGGCUCUGACAGCUCCCCUAGGUCAGUAGAGGGAUGACCGCGAGAACCAGAACAAACCUGGCUAGAUGACAAGGGAAGGCCCAGGGAAUGAAGGGCAUCCAGUGGUCAACACAUAGUCUUCAAACCACAGAAGAGAAAGAGAAAAUUUGUGAGUUUUCUCUGCCCUAAUUUGUGGAUCUUAUGGGAGCUCUGUAGCCAUUUUGGUUUUAUUUUGUUUUAUCCAGGAAGGGAUGAGGUAAGAAUCCAAAUGUCACAUAUCACCGUGUCCUUACAGAUGACCCACACUGGUGGCUCUUAAACGAUGCUGAAUGGAGCCCUUCAGGGUACAGAGUCCUUUACAAGAUGUCAGGGACGCGGACAGCAGGCACAAGAAGUAGAAGACGCCAUGUUCCAGCCCCUUUGUGGUGAGAUGAGCCCCAGAACUAAUCCUGGCCAACAGGGCUAUGAGCAUGUCACUUUCAAGCUGAAGCAUACAAGAGCAGUUGGGGCCACUCAUGCCACUCUCCUGCCAGAGCAAUCAAGAGACUGUGUAGUCCCAGCCAGUAUGGGUACAGGAGACAGAGCCUCCAUCAGCUCCGGACCUUGGGUGACUGCAUGGAAUGGAAUCCCCACCCCCAAUCUGUGAUGGACAGAAAGCACAAGUAAGAAAUAAAACACUGUAUUAAAACUGCAUUUCCAGGUCGUUUUGC
This 856-nucleotide long non-coding RNA is filed under the name Mustela putorius furo (domestic ferret). RNAcentral describes it as "lncRNA (ENSMPUG00000028836.1)". Lineage: Eukaryota; Metazoa; Chordata; Mammalia; Carnivora; Mustelidae. The record is from RNAcentral.